CACCCGGCUAAGCCCCCACCUGGCUGUACCACGGGGCCCUGAAACUGGGUCUUUAUUCAGCUAAGACAUCCUUCUCCUAUAGGGCUCCCAGACCCUGGGGUCACUGGGGUUCUCUGUGCUGAAGCCAGGUAAGUGCUCACACAUCUGUCAAAACUGACAGUCCUGACCCACCCUCUGGGCAGGGCAGAUCGGUAUGGAAGUUAGAACAUGAAAUCAGACAGCCGGGAUGCUCCUCUCAGAUCUUCCACUGACGAGAUAAUGCCUUUGGGCAGGCAGUUCAACCAAACCAAUAAUCAGCCGCCACACCUGUGAGACGGAGGCUGCUAAUGCACCUGUUUCAUCAUGUUGCUGGGAGGGUAAAGUGACGUCAUAGAGGCAAGGCAUUUGAGCCCCACACUUAGCAAACAGUAAGUGCUCACUGUGUGCUGUCUGUUGUUACCAUAACGGUUCUGAUUGUUAGGUAGUCUUCCGGGCAGCCUCAGGGUAGCUGUGUGUCUGAGAGCCACACAGGGCCCCUCCCGGUUAAUUCCCAAUAUCUGUUACUCGGUCACCCACUGACUUUCCCACAAUAAACCUCUCGCUUCCCACAGGGCCGCGUGUCCUCCACUGCUUUCCCACCUCUUGGUGGCCCACACCCACCUUUCAGCCUCACUUCCUCCAUCCCCAGGCCAGCUUUGAGAGAUGCUGGCUCCUGUCUUUCUGUGGUCUGAACAUGGCAAUGUGGGGUGUGGUUGUGAGAGGCCCUGGGUUCUUGCUCUGCUACGUCCAGUCAGGAAGCAUGGCUGUUUGGUUCGGAGGUGAACGUAAGAAGUAGUUUGGAGGGGCUUCCCUGGUGGGCCCGUGGUGAAGAAUCCUCCUUGUAGUGCAAGGGACCUGAGUUCGAUCCCUGGCCCAGGAAGAUCCCAUGUUCUGCGGGACAGCUAAGCUCGUGUGCCCUAACCACUGAGCCUGCUCUCUGCAACCAGAGAAGUCACGGCAACAAGAAGCCUGCACACAGCGAGGAAGUGUGGCCCUGCUCACCGCAACUAGAGAAGGCCCAAGUAUAGCAACGAAGGAAGACCCAGCGGAGCCAAGUAAAUAAAUAAACAUCUUUU
Odocoileus virginianus texanus is the source of this 1094-nucleotide non-coding RNA. The record is from RefSeq and is a predicted model, not a curated record. Lineage: Eukaryota; Metazoa; Chordata; Mammalia; Artiodactyla; Cervidae.